CUCAAUGUAAUUAAAUAGCCGCAAUAUCUGUGCUAAGGUAGCAUAAUCAUUUGUUUUUUAAUUAAAAACUAGAACGAAAGAUUUAACAUUUUUAUUUCUAUCUAACAUAUAAUUUAUUUAACUUAUUUCAAAUAUAAAAAAAUAUUUAUUCAUAAAGAAGACGAUAAGACCCUAUUGAACUUAACUAUAGUUAAACUGGGGCAGUUAAUUAAAUAUAAUUUUAAUUUAAAUAUAAAAAAACCUAAUACAAUUAAAAAAUCAAGUUACCAUAGGGAUAACAGCGUAAUAAUUUUCUUAAGCUCUUAUUUUAAAAAUUGUUUACGACCUCGAUGUUGAAUUAAUUAUCUAUUAAACGCAACAACUUAAUAAGAAAGUC
RNAcentral lists this ribosomal RNA (376 nucleotides) under Draconarius sp. ZZ469. RNAcentral's name for it is "partial 16S ribosomal RNA". The record is from RNAcentral. Lineage: Eukaryota; Metazoa; Arthropoda; Arachnida; Araneae; Agelenidae.